GAAAUGCGAUAAGUAAUGUGAAUUGCAGAAUUCCGUGAAUCAUCGAGUCUUUGAACGCACAUUGCGCCCCCUGGCAUUCCGGGGGGCACGCCUGUCCGAGCGUCAUUGCGAACCCCUCAAGCGCGGCUUGUGUGAUGGGUGGGUCCGCGGCGACCCCUGCGGGGGGGCUGUAGGACGCGCCCGAAAGUCAGCGGCGGCGCCCAACGUGGACCGGCCGAGCGCAUGGGGCUCUGUCACGCGCUCGUGCCCACGAUGGUGACGCCCGCCACACUGGAAUACCAUCAAGUUGACCUCGGAUCAGGUGGGGAUACCCGCUGAACUUAA
This 324-nucleotide unclassified non-coding RNA is filed under the name uncultured Ascomycota. Its description in RNAcentral is "sequence contains ITS1". The stretch from base 1 to 105 matches the Rfam family "5.8S ribosomal RNA", at positions 50 to 154 of the family's 154-position model. The record is from RNAcentral. Lineage: Eukaryota; Fungi; Ascomycota.